GUGCUCGCUUCGGCAGCACAUAUACUAAAAGUGGAACAAUACAGAGUAGAUUAGCACGGCCCCGCGCAAGGAUGACACGCAAGUUCGUGAAGUGUUCCAUAUUUAA
Otolemur garnettii (small-eared galago) is the source of this 106-nucleotide small nuclear RNA. The record is from Ensembl. Lineage: Eukaryota; Metazoa; Chordata; Mammalia; Primates; Galagidae.